GACGAACGCUGGCGGCGUGCUUAACACAUGCAAGUCGAACGGAAAGGCCCUGCUUUUGUGGGGUGCUCGAGUGGCGAACGGGUGAGUAACACGUGAGUAACCUGCCCUUGACUUUGGGAUAACUUCAGGAAACUGGAGCUAAUACCGGAUAGGAGCUCCUGCUGCAUGGUGGGGGUUGGAAAGUUUCGGCGGUUGGGGAUGGACUCGCGGCUUAUCAGCUUGUUGGUGGGGUAGUGGCUUACCAAGGCUUUGACGGGUAGCCGGCCUGAGAGGGUGAGCGGGGACAUUGGGACUGAGGUACGGCGCAGAGGCGUACGGGAGGCAGCAGGGGGGAAUGUUGCAGAGUGGGCGGGGGCGUGGGGCAGCAACGCCGGGUGCGGGAUGACGGGCUUCGGGUUGGAGACCGCUUUCGGCUGUGACGAAGCGUGAGUGACGGUAAUGGGUAAAGAAGCACCGGCUAACUACGUG
RNAcentral lists this ribosomal RNA (468 nucleotides) under uncultured bacterium. Its description in RNAcentral is "partial 16S ribosomal RNA". It matches the Rfam family "Bacterial small subunit ribosomal RNA", at positions 28 to 507 of the family's 1533-position model. The record is from RNAcentral.